GAUGAACGCUGGCGGCGUGCCUAAUACAUGCAAGUCGAGCGAACGGACGAGAAGCUUGCUUCUCUGAUGUUAGCGGCGGACGGGUGAGUAACACGUGGAUAACCUACCUAUAAGACUGGGAUAACUUCGGGAAACCGGAGCUAAUACCGGAUAAUAUUUUGAACCGCAUGGUUCAAAAGUGAAAGACGGUCUUGCUGUCACUUAUAGAUGGAUCCGCGCUGCAUUAGCUAGUUGGUAAGGUAACGGCUUACCAAGGCAACGAUGCAUAGCCGACCUGAGAGGGUGAUCGGCCACACUGGAACUGAGACACGGUCCAGACUCCUACGGGAGGCAGCAGUAGGGAAUCUUCCGCAAUGGGCGAAAGCCUGACGGAGCAACGCCGCGUGAGUGAUGAAGGUCUUCGGAUCGUAAAACUCUGUUAUUAGGGAAGAACAUAUGUGUAAGUAACUGUGCACAUCUUGGCGGUACCUAAUCAGAAAGCCACGGCUAACUACAU
RNAcentral lists this ribosomal RNA (496 nucleotides) under uncultured bacterium. RNAcentral's name for it is "partial 16S ribosomal RNA". It matches the Rfam family "Bacterial small subunit ribosomal RNA", at positions 28 to 506 of the family's 1533-position model. The record is from RNAcentral.